UACGUAGGGGGCAAGCGUUGUCCGGAUUUAUUGGGCGUAAAGAGCGUGUAGGCGGCCAGGUAGGUCUGCUGUGAAAACUCGAGGCUUAACCUCGAGCUGUCGGCGGAAACCAUCUGGCUAGAGUCCGGAAGAGGAGAAUGGAAUUCCCGGUGUAGCGGUGAAAUGCGCAGAUAUCGGGAGGAACACCUGUGGCGAAAGCGGCUCACUGGGACCG
This 214-nucleotide ribosomal RNA is filed under the name uncultured bacterium. RNAcentral describes it as "partial 16S ribosomal RNA". It matches the Rfam family "Bacterial small subunit ribosomal RNA", at positions 524 to 736 of the family's 1533-position model. The record is from RNAcentral.